UUCCAUCCGAGAUGAAUGUAACAACUCUUUUAAAGGAUAUAUGUCACACCCGAAUUUAAAGGACAAAGUCGGGUGCAUCUCAUACAUGUGCCAAAGAAGACAACAUAUAUAAUAACAGAGUGUAUAGAGAUAAAUGUCACAAUAACAGCAAAGUACUUAUUACAUAGCGGAAGUCUUACAAAAUAAAAGUAAAUAUAAAACGAACUAGGGACCAUCCUUGGCGCCAAUAAGUCAACUAGGAGACGCCACCUAGAUCGAAUCGAACUCCUCGUUGUGUGGCUCCUCUUGAACCACCUGUACUUCUCCUGUGGGGGGUGUAAGACAGCAAGGGUGAGCUUACAUAUGUUCAUCGCUCAACAAGUUGUUUGGAAUAAUGUGCAUGAACUCACCAAAGGUGGGAAUUCAUGUGAUGUGUAAGGCUGAUCAACAGUAGGGGUUAAAGCUGAGCAUUGCUUUUAAUAAGUUGGUCAAAUUUUAUUAACAAAUACUAAAUGUAAGUAAAUACCAAACCAUAAUAAAUAAUAGAACAAAAUUAAUAAAUAAUCCCAUGCAAAUGCAAAUGACAAAUUGAAUUUAGUUCCAUAAUUUAAUCAUGCGAGAGUCCUGAGUUGCUCUUGACCGUGAGCUCGGCUAGUAUACCAGUUUUACACUUUACAGAGGUUGUACCCUGUACCCACAAGUCAUGUAUCCCAUGUCGCCAGGGUUACCUAGACCCUUAGACACUACCGAGGUGAAUGGCUAGGGACCCACUACGAGGCUUUUACAAAGUUCCACUAGCUUCCGAAAACACUAAUACAUGCGCCAAAGAAGACAACAUAUAUAAUAACAGAGUGUAUAGAGAUAAAUGUCACAAUAAUCAGAGUACUUAUUACAUAGCGGAAGACUUACAAAAAAUAAAAGAUAAAUAUAACAGGAUCUAGAAUCCAUCCUUGGCGCCAGAAAGUCAACUGGGAGACGCCACCUAUAUCAAAUCGAACUCCUCGAUGUGGCUCCUCUUGAACCAUCUGUUCUUCUCCUGUGGGGGUGUGGGACAGCAAGGGUGAGCUCACACAUGUUCAUUGCUCAACAAGUUGUGGGGAAUAAUGUGGUAUGAACUCACCAAAGGUGGGAGUUCAUGUGAUGUGUAAAGCUGAUCAACAAUAGGGGUUUAAAGCUGAGCAUUGCUUUUAAAGUUGGUCAAAGUUUUAUUAGCAAUUACUAAAUGUAAGUAAAUACCAAACCAUAAUAAAAAUAAUAGAACAAAAUUAAUAACAAAAUCCCAUGCAAUGCAUAAGACAAAUUGAAUUUAGGUUCCAUAAAUUAAUCAUGCGAGAGUCCUGAGCUGCUCAUGACUGUGAGCUCGGCUUGUAUACCAGUUUUACACUCUGCUGAGGUUGUACCCUGUACCCACAAGUCGUGUAUCCCAUGUCGCUAGGGUUUGCAAGGCCCUUAGACACUACCGAGGUGAAUGGAUAGGGAUCCACUACGAGGCCUUUAUAAAGUUCCACUAGCUUCCAAAAACCUGCUAUAGUUUAUGGGAAGAGCACUUGCAAGAAUUCCCCGUCUGACCGCCAUCGCAGCAAAAUCAACAUGAGAACCUCCUUGCAUGCAACUCCCCUACUGCCCUUGCCCCUUUCGGGUAAGGUAGUCUUCCACUAGCUUUCCUAAUUAGUCAGCCAAGGGCGUCCCAUUCCACCCUUGUGGUGGCACGUGUUUCUCAAGUUAAGCUCCAUGUUCCAAUUAACAUUUAAUGAUCUUGACAUGAACAUAAAUAACAUAACAGAAUAAUUGGAACAUGGAUAUAAUGAAAUAUUAAUCCCAAAACCAAAUAAUGCAAUAGCAUAACUAGCCAAGUGAAUCAGGGGUAAACAAGGUAAACAGGAUAAACAAACUAGGGUGACCUAUUGGGUCCCAUCAAAAAUUAAACCUAUGCAUUAAAUAAUGAUAAUAAAGAAUAUUAUUGGGUAACAAAAGUGGAUCAAGGGCACAACUUGCCUGGCACUUGAGAUUACAGGUUCCACUUUCUCUUCAAGUGACUCGUAACCUUGCUACUAGUCAUAGCAAUAUAAACAAACAUGGUAUAGACAAAAUUAACAUCACACCAAACAUAAGUACAAACUGAAUAAUAAUAAUCUAUGUGAAGCUACAAAAUCGUGGGAUCGAGAUCUACUAAGAUCGGAGUUACGAUUAAGGAGUUAUGAUUUUAUAAAAGAUCUAUGUGAUUAAAAUAUUAGACUAUAUUAUGAAUUGGUUAGGAUACCCUAUAUGAGAGAAUUAAUUAUCUCAACUUUAAUCUAAGUUAUAAAUUGACCAUAGAUCUUAUUCUAGUAGGUUAUAAUGGUAAGCAAAUUAACAAGUCUAACCGACAUAAAUUAAAUAAAAAUCUAAUUAGAAAAGAAUGAGGCAUGGUAUAAUAAAUGUUGUUAUUGUGUAGUAGAUAUUUAUAUGAAGCUAACGCAACUGGAACGAGAUAAAUCGGAUUUAAAAUGGAGAAAUUAUGAAUUUCCGAAGUUAUUAGGUACUUAGAAUAGAUUAAUUCAAAUGAACAAUUUUAAUUCAAUUUCAUGGCUAAACAGUGUUACUUGUUGAUAGACAAUAUUAAAAAAAUUAAUGUCUCUGGAAUGAAUCAAUUUGGAGCUAAAAUGAAUUUAAUAUGAUUUAUCCAAGUUUAUGGAAUUAUUUUUGUAUUAAAAACAAUUUCUAUAAUCAUUUCCAUGUUUUCUCUAUUUUCCUGGUUUGCGCGUCAAUUACUAAAAAGAUCAGGGGCUAUCUCAGAAGAUUACCCAGACUCAGUCUACACCCCCUUGGACGACGGGUUGAUUUCUAUGUUCUACGGGGUCUCUUUAACAAAAUAUCUGGCCGAAGGGGUACGGGCGGAUGAGAGCCGCCCGAUCCGACUUGUGCGGUCAGGAUUAGAUUCCCACAGAGCAACUCCCACGCGUGGGAUGUGUCAUCGACGGUUCAGAUUUUAAAACGCACGAGCACACGAGGUCUGUUCGAUCGCGAUUGGACGCUAGUCGCGUGCACAAACCCAACUGUUAUCGUCGAUUAGAUCUCGGCCAUCCAUCCAAUAUCCGAUGGCUACCGAGCACUCCCUAUCUUGCCCGCCCACGCACAGAUCUGCGAUCACGAUUAAAUCGAGUUGAACUGGUAUCUCAAACUAAUCAGAACCAUGCACCCAUCGGCCAACCAACGGCCCACGCGUUCCUCUCCUCACCCCGGUCGGAGACGGCAGUGCGUCAGCCCGCGCGACGGUGGCGGCAUUGGCGGCGAACCCUUAAGCAUGCUGGGAAGGGCCUAAGUCUAACGUGACCCGAUGCAAAAUGAAGAGGGAAAGGUGGAGAGCAUCAUGGUGGGGGGCUUACCGAAGAUUAGGUCACCAGGAGUCACGCCCACGGCGCACGGCGGAAGUCCACGGGUCCUCAUCGUCGGUGAGCAAUUCUGGCUUCACAACGACCGCCACGCACCCACACCCCCGCGUGUCGUCACCGGUGGGUUGCAUAAUGCUCUGGUUCCAGCCCCGAGGGCACGAACGGCAACAGACGCGAGGCACAGGUGCGGCGGCUACGCCCUCCUAUGGUGUGCUGGCGGCGGGGUGUUCGUGCGUAGGGAGGGCGACCCGGAAAAGCAGCUCCACCCGAAUAUAUAGCUAGCGCGGUGAAGAGGCUAGGCCAGCGUGCGGUCAGUUGGUGGUUGGAUCCAGCGUGGAACGCGGCGUUCGGAGCGGAUGUGAUGAGGGGGCGCCAGUCCGCGAUAUUCACGGGAGGAAGAAGACGAGUUCGCAGCGGAUCUCACCCGAUGACCAGUGGGCCCCACACGGCAGCCACAGAGCUAACGUGCGAGAGAUGGAGCUUGGGUCGUGCGGAGGAAAACAGAAGUGGGCCGAACGCGCGUGGUGGCUUGGCUGAGCUGCUGCCGCGCAGGUCUAACCUGUCAGUGACACGAGGUGGAGACGGCUGGCGCGGUAAAAUGGCUGACGGUGUGGGCUGAGUGCAGCGAGCGAAGUGGGCCAAGGUGGAGAAUGGGCUGAAAGUGAGGUAGCCGGCCCAGAGAGUUCUAGUUCUUCUUUUUCUUUUCUUAUUUCUAUUUUAAUUUAAAAAUACCCAAUCAAAUUCAAAAUUUCUAUUUCAAGUAUAAAUGCAUCAAUCAAAAAUCCGAGCAUGAUAUGCAACAAAUUUAUCUAUAUUAAUAUAUAUAUAUAUAUAUAUAUAUAUGUUUAUUAAUUUAUCUAAUUAAGUAAAUGCUUCAAAUGUUUAAUUUAGUAAAGAAUAAAUUCAUAGCAUCAAAUAAUUGAAUAUGUUCCUCAUUAAAUUUCCCUUGUCAUAUAUGUAGGAAAACCAUUUUAUUGUAAACCUUUCUUAGAAAUUAAUAUCAAUCAUUUACUUUAGGAUAAUAUUCCUUUCAUGUUUACCUCUGAUUCCAUGUUUCUCAUUUAUUUAUUUUAGCACCAAAUAAGUAUUUUCAAAUGUGAAAUCUUAAUUAGAAAAUAUAACUUAAAUCUUUAUAGGACUUAUCCUUAUACAAAACUUAUAAACUUAAAAGAUAUUUUAUAUAAUAAUCCUUUUACUGAAUCUUAAAAAAAUUAUUUUAGGAGAUGUGACUUCAAAAGUUAUGGGACUUCUAAAAGAAAUUCUAACACAAGGUCUUUGGAAAUAUAUUUUUUACUAUAGUCUCAAAAUGAGAUUUUGAGGUGUUACAAAUCCUACCCCCUUAACAGAAAUCUCGUCCUCGAGAUUUGUAAGGAAAGGUACAUAACCAUGUUAUCUCAAAACAUAUGCACAAACAAAAUCUCAGCAUGAUGCAUACUUUAUUAGCAACACACGAGGUCAAUUACACCUUGAUAUUCCUCCUAAAAUAGUAGCAUACCAACCACUAACUAAAGUAACAUUUAACUAAAAUAGUAAUAUAUAUGUAUAUUAAUGUCGAUGUUGAUCUUUUCUCCUCCGGUCUUGGUCUCAUUGUUUCGAGGUUAGUGUAUAUUAUCGAGGUUGGGAAAUAUGGUUAAUAUAGAUAUGGAUGAGGUAAACCACAUUAUGUAGAUCAAAAGUUUGUUUGAUGUUAGGUGAGGAUAGAUUGAUUAUACCAUUCAUCAUGAAUCUAUGGGUUGUGUUAACUAUUUUGCUCAUGGUUGAGUUGGUCUAAUGUGCUAAGUUAAGGUAACACCCAGUUAGUAGGGUCUGAUAUCUUCUACCAGCAUCACUAAUCUGUUUAAGUAGAACACACUAGUUUAGAUCAUACUAGAUUAGAUCACAUUAGAUUCUAUGAUUCCAUUCAAGAAUAUCAUUUAGUUAAGCAUGACAAGAUGAUUUUAUCUUUAUGAAAUACUAGUAUAGAUAUUUUUUCGAAGUGGAACUUCCAAUUGGUAUGAGUUUUUUUAUACACCUAAAAUUAUUCAUGCCAUUAACAGGUGUGGUAUAGAAACAAGGGUACCUCAGAUUCUGGCCAUUAGGUGAGUGUAGAGAAGAUUUGGGGGCAGAAGAAAGUUUGGUAGGAGAGAUUUUUUUCGGGUGGUGGAUCUUGAUUCAUCCGAAGAUCUGUUUCUACUGGUAUCUUUCAUAGUCGAGGUUAACCUUCUUCUUGGAUCUGAUUUAAGGAUCGGUUGUGGUGUUAGAUUCCAUUACCUGAGUUGAGAUAACAACUGCGGGUACAUAGGGUAGGUAGAUUAAACAGAGUUUUACUUUGCUUUUGGAAUAAAUGGGUUGGGCAACCUAUAACUUAGGUUAGGUCAUGGUUUCACGAACGAGUUGGUCUAAGACACCAAUUUAGGUUUAAAAUCCACUUAUAGGAAUAUGGUUUAGUUAAUCCUUGUAACAUGGAUUAGACCAUAUUAGAUUAGGUAGAGUCUAGAUUAGAUUGGAUAUAACUAUAGAUUAGACUAGUUUAAGUUAGAUAAAUCUACCAGGGUAGAAUAUGUAUUAUUAAGAUAUGUUAGAAUCCUUUGAGAUAGGAUAGAUUACAUGGGUAGGUAAAUCAGAAUCUCUGUUAGGUUAAAACAGAGGGGUUAUGCAACUAUCGGGUGGUUAAGGUAAUUGCAUAUGGCCAGGUUGUUGUAUGUGGUCUAGUCUAAAUUGGAAUCUCAGUCCAACUUGGAUUAAAACAUAUUUAUAAGAGUAUGAUCCAAUCUUAUUUUACCAGUAUUAUCUAGCAUGUUCGUCCAUUAGGUUAGAUCUGAUCAAAUUAGAUGGGAUCAGAAUUAAAUUGGUGUAAUCAGAUAAGACUAGAUAAGGUCUACUUAAUUUAUUUUAGAAUAGAUCAUGUUUGUUACAGUGUUUUAAGAUAAGCAAAUGAUAGGUAUGCUUAUUAAGACAAGAUGAGCCUAUAAGAAUAAGAUAGAGUCUUUUGAGUUUAGUUAGAUCUAUUAGGGUAGGAUAGAAUCUUUUCGAGAUAAGAUGGAUCUUGUUAAGAUAAGAAAGAAUCUUCUAGGAUAAGAGAAAAUAUGUUAAGAUAAAAUGGAUCUAUUAAGAUAAGAGAGAAUAUUUUAAGAUAAGAUGGAUCUUUAAGGUAAGAAAGAAUAUUUUAACAUGAGAUGGAUCUAUUAAGAUAAGAGAGAGUCUUUUAGAUAAGAGGGGUCUAUAUAAAAUAGAUACACUUCAAUAGAGGAUAAUCUAAGUUGUUUAUUUAUCUCAUGAAUUUUAUUUAUUUAUAUCUAUAUGUAUAUGUAUAUGCAGAUGUAAUUAUGGACAUUACUCCACAACUAAUCACACUCAAUCAAAGAUCCAAAUCAAACAAGUAUCAUAAGGACAAACACUCAAGCGUAUAAAUACCUAUAAAAAUAGUUUUGUUCUUUUUGUUUCUAAGAGUAGGUCUCCUAGUCCUAACAAUCACCUUAGGUACGGUAUUUCAAAGUGUGAAACCCACAUUUGUCUUUAGAAAGGAAAGGUAAGAAUAAUCAGAGUAAGCGAAAAUAGAUGAGAAAAGAUUAAGAUAAGUUUAGAAAAGAAUCAGAGUAAGGCAAAUAGGUAAUGGUUUUGUCCAUUUCUAUCUAGGUUUCGUCCUACAGUCAACAUUUGCCUCUGAUACCACUUCUGUAACACCCCGGGCUUUAAGGGAUAAAGUCGUGUGCAUCUCAUACAUGUGCCAAAGAAGCCAACAUAUAUAAUAACAGAGUGUAUAGAGAUAAAUGUCACAAUAAUCAAAGUACUUAUUACAUAGCAAAAGACUUACAAAAAAUAAAAGAUAAAUAUAACAGGAUCUAAAAUCCAUCCUUGGCGCCGGAAAGUCAACUGGGAGACGCCACCUAGAUCGAAUCGAACUCCUCGAUGUGGCUCCUGUUGAACCACAUGUUCUUCUCUUGUGGGGGUGUGAGACAGCAAGGGUGAGCUCACACAUGUUCAUCGCUGAAAGGGAAUUAGGCUUACACCUAUUUCCUAAAUGAUUUUGGUGGUUGAAUUGCCCAACACAAAUAAUUGGACUAACUAGUUCGCUCUAGUGUAUAAGUUAUACAGGUGUCAAAAGUUCAUACUUAGCAAAUAAAAAGACCAAGAAUCGGGUUCAACAAAGAGAGCAAAGGGAUAACCGAAGGCACCCUGGUCUGGCGCACCGGACAGUGUCCGGUGCACCAGGGGACUUCAAGCCAAACUUCGCACCUUCGGGAAUUCUCAGAGGUGCUCCGCUAUAAUUCACCGGACUGUCCAGUGUACACCGGACAGUGUCCGGUGCUCCAGAGGAGAGCGACUCUGAACUCGCCAGCUUCGGGAAUUCGCUCCGCUAUAAUUCACCGGACAUGUCCGGUGUGCACCGGACUGUCCGGUGAGCCAGCGGAGCAACGGCUACUUCGUGCCAACGGUCACCUGCAGAAGCAUUAAAUGCGCGCCAGAGCGCGCAGAAGUCAGGCACGCACGAUGUGGCGCACCGGACACUCUACAGUACAUGUCUGGUGUGCCACCGGACAUCCAGGCGGGCCCAGCAGUCAGAGCUCCAACGGUCGGAACCCAACGGCCUGGUGACGUGGGUGGCGCACCGGACACUGUCCGGUGUACACCGGACUGUCCGGUGCACCAUGCGACAGACAGCCUCCACCAAACGGCUAGUUUGGUGGUUGGGGUUAUAAAUACCCCCAACCACCCCACAUUCAAGUCAUCCAAGUUUUCCACCUUCCAACCACUUACAAGAGCUAGGCAUUCAAUACAAGACACACCCAAGCGAUCAAAUCCUCUCCCAAUUCCACAAAAGCAUUAGUGACUAGUGAGAGUGAUCUGUUGUGUUCUUUUGAGCUCUUGCGCUUGGAUUGCUUUCUUCUUUCUCAUUCUUUGCUUGUGAUCAAAACUCAAUUGUAACUGAGGCAAGAGACACCAAUUGUGUGGUGGUCCUUGCGGGGAAGUUUUGUUCCCGGUUGAUUUGAGAAGAGAAAGCUCACUCGGUCCGAGGGACCGUUUGAGAGAGGGAAAGGGUUGAAAGAGACCCAGCCUUUGUGGCCUCCUCAACGGGGAGUAGGUUUGCGAGAACCGAACCUCAGUAAAACAAAUCCGCGUGUCACACUUCUUAUUCACUUGCGAUUUGUUUUGCACCCUCUCUCGCGGACUCGGUUAUAUUUCUAACGCUAACCCGGCUUGUAGUUGUGAUUAACUUUGUAAAUUUCAGUUUCGCCCUAUUCACCCCCCUCUAGGCGACUUUCAAUUGGUAUCGGAGCCCGGUGCUUCAUUAGAGCCUAACCGCUCGAAGUGAUGUUGGGAGAUCACGCCAAGAGGGAGAUGGAGACCGGCGACAAGCCCACUACAAGUCAUGGGAAAGCUUCAUCGGAAGAGUCCCGCAACAAAAAGAAAGGGAAGGAAAAGAAAUCCUCUUCCCACAAGUCGCAUCGGAGUGGCGACAAGAAAAAGAAGAUGAGAAAGGUGGUCUACUACGAGACCGAUACUUCAUCACCUUCCACAUCCGGCUCCGACGCGCCAUCCAUCACUUCUAAGCGCCAUGAGCACAAGUAGUUUAGUAAGAUCCCCCUACACUAUCCUCGCAUUCCUAAACAUAUGCCUUUACUUUCCGUCCCAUUAGGCAAACCACCAACUUUUGAUGGUGAAGAUUAUGCAAGGUGGAGUGAUUUAAUGCGAUUUCAUCUAACCUCACUCCACAAAAGUAUAUGGGAUGUCGUUGAGUUUGGUGUACAGGUACCAUCCGUAGGGGAUGAAGAUUAUGAUGAGGACGAGGUGGCCCAAAUCGAGCACUUCAACUCUCAAGCCACAACAAUACGACUCGCCUCUCUAAGUAGAGAGGAGUACAACAAGGUGCAAGGAUUAAAGAGCGCCAAGGAAGUUUGGGAUGUGCUCAAAACCGCGCACGAGGGAGAUGAGCUAACCAAGAUCACCAAGCGGGAGACGAUCGAGGGGGAGCUCGGUCGCUUUCGGCUUCACAAAGGGGAAGAGCCACAAGACAUGUACAACCGGCUCAAAACCUUGGUGAACCAAGUGCGCAACCUCGGGAGCAAAAAGUGGGAUGACCACGAGAUGGUUAAGGUUAUUCUUAGAUCACUUAUUUUCCUUAACCCUACUCAAGUUCAAUUAAUUCGUGGUAAUCCUAGAUAUACACUAAUGACUCCCGAGGAAGUAAUCGGGAAUUUUGUGAGCUUUGAGUAUAUGAUCAAGGGCUCAAAGAAAAUCAAUGAGCUAGAUGAUCCCUCCACAUCCGAAGCACAACCGGUCGCAUUUAAGGCGACGGAGGAGAAGAAGGAGGAGUCUACACCGAGUAGACAACCAAUCGACGCAUCAAAGCUCGACAAUGAGGAAAUGGCGCUCGUCAUCAAGAGCUUCCGCCAAAUCCUCAAACAAAGGAGGGGGAAAGACUACAAGCCCCGAUCCAAGAAAGUGUGCUACAAAUGUGGUAAGCCCAGUCAUUUUAUUGCAAAAUGUCCUCUAUCUAGUGACAGUGACAGGGGCGACGACAAGAAGGGGAGAAGAAAGGAGAAGAAGAGGUACUACAAGAAGAAGGGCGGCGAUGCCCAUGUUUGUCGCGUGUGGGACUCCGACGAAAGCUCUAGCGACUCCUCCGACGACGAGGACGCCGCCAACAUCACCGUCACCAAGGGACUUCUCUUCCCCAACGUCGGCCACAAGUGCCUCGUGGCAAAGGACGACAAAAAGAAGAAGGUUAAAUCCAAAUCCUCCACUAGAUAUGAGUCUUCUAGCGAUGAUAAUGCUAGUGAUGAGGAAGAUAAUUUGCGUACACUUUUUGCUAACCUAAACAUGCAACAAAAGGAAAAAUUAAAUGAAUUGAUUAGUGCUAUACAUGAGAAGGAUGAUCUCUUGGACUCCCAAGAGGACUUCCUUAUUAAAGAAAACAAAAAGCAUGUUAAGGUAAAAAAUGCUUAUGCUCUAGAAGUAGAAAAGUGCGAAAAAUUAUCUAGUGAGCUAAGCACUUGCCAUGAGACUAUUGACAACCUUAGAAAUGAAAAUGCUAAUUUGUUAGCUAAGGUUGAUUCAAAUGUUUGUAAUGUUUCAAUUCCCAAUCCUAGAAAUAAUGAUGAUGAUUUGCUUGCUAAGAUUGAAGAAUUGAACAUUUCUCUUGCUAGCCUUAGAGAUGAAAACGAAAAAUUACUUGCUAAGGCUAAAGAUUUUGAUGUUUGCAAUGCUACCAUUUCCGACCUUAGAAGUAAAAAUGAUAUAUUGCAUGCUAAGGUUGUAGAAUUAAAAUCUUGCAAACCCUCUACAUCUACCAUUGAGCACACUUCUAUUUGUACUAGAUGUAGAGAUGUUGAUGUUAAUGCUAUUCAUGAUCACAUGGCUUUAAUUAAACAACAAAAUGAUCAUAUAGCAAAAUUAGAUGCUAAAAUUGCCGAGCAUGAACUUGAAAAUGAAAAAUUUAAAUUUGCUCGUAGUAUGCUUUAUAAUGGGAGACGCCCUGGCAUUAAGGAUGGCAUUGGCUUCCAACAGGGAGGCAAUGUCAAACUUAAUGCCCCUCCUAAGAAAUUGUCCAACUUUGUUAAGGGCAAGGCUCUCAUGCCUCAGGAUAACGAGGGUUACAUUUUAUACCCUGCCGGUUAUCCCGAGAGCAAAAUUAGGAGAAUUCAUUCUAGGAAGUCUCACUCUGGCCCUAACCAUGCUUUUAUGUAUAAGGGUGAGACAUCUAGUUCUAGGCAACCAAACCAUGCUAAGUUGCCUAAAAGGAAAACUCCUAGUGCAUCAAAUGAACAUAGCAUUUCAUUUAAAACGUUUGAUGCAUCAUAUGUUUUUACUAACAAAUCCGGCAAGGUAGUUGCCAAGUAUGUUGGGGGCAAACACAAGGGAUCAAAAACUUGUGUUUGGGUACCCAAAGUUCUUGUAUCUAAUGCCAAAGGACCCAAAACCAUUUGGGUACCUAAAGUGAAGAACUAAACUUGUUUUGUAGGUUUAUGCAUUCGGGGGCUCAAGCUGGGUAAUCGACAGCGGGUGCACAAACCACAUGACAGGGGAGAAGAAGAUGUUCUCCUCCUACGAGAAAAACCAAGAUCCCCAACGAGCUAUCACAUUCGGGGAUGGAAAUCAAGGUUUGGUCAAAGGAUUGUGUAAAAUUGCUAUAUCACCUGACCAUUCUAUUUCCAAUGUUUUUCUUGUAGAUUCAUUAGAUUACAAUUUGCUUUCCGUUUCUCAAUUAUGCAAAAUGGGCUACAACUGUUUAUUCACUGAUGUAGGUGUCACUGUCUUUAGAAGAAGUGAUGAUUCAAUAGCAUUUAAGGGAGUGUUAGAGGGUCAGCUAUACUUAGUGAAUUUUGAUAGAGCUGAACUCGACACUUGCUUAAUUGCUAAGACUAACAUGGGUUGGCUCUGGCACCGCCGACUAGCCCAUGUUGGGAUGAAGAAUCUUCAUAAGCUUCUAAAGGGAGAGCAUAUUUUAGGACUAACAAAUGUUCAUUUUGAGAAAGACAGGAUUUGUAGCGCAUGCCAAGCAGGGAAGCAAGUUGGUGCCCAUCAUCCACAUAAGAACAUCAUGACGACUGACAGGCCACUGGAGCUCCUACACAUGAACCUAUUCGGACCGAUUGCUUACAUAAGCAUCGGCGGGAGUAAGUACUGUCUAGUUAUUGUGGAUGAUUAUUCUCGCUUCACUUGGGUGUUCUUUUUGCAGGAAAAAUCUAAUACCCAAGAUACUUUAAAGGGAUUCUUGAGACGGGCUCAAAAUGAGUUCGGCUUAAGGAUCAAGAAAAUAAGAAGCGACAACGGGACAGAGUUCAAAAACUCUCAAAUUGAAGGCUUCCUUGAGGAGGAGGGCAUCAAGCAUGAGUUCUCUUCUCCCUACACGCCACAAAAAAUGGUGUAGUGGAGAGGAAGAAUAGAACUCUAUUGGACAUGGCUAGAACCAUGCUUGAUGAGUACAAGACAUCGGAUCGGUUUUGGGCCGAGGCGGUCAACACCGCUUGCUACGCCAUCAACCGGUUAUAUCUACACCGAAUCCUCAAGAAGACAUCAUAUGAACUCCUAACCGGUAAAAAGCCUAAUAUUUCAUAUUUUAGAGUCUUUGGUAGCAAAUGCUUUAUACUUGUUAAAAGAGGUAGAAAAUCUAAAUUUACUCCUAAGACUGUAGAAGGCUUUUUACUAGGAUAUGAUUCAAACACAAGGGCAUAUAGAGUCUUUAACAAGUCCUUUGGACAAGUUGAAGUUUCUUGUGACGUUGUGUUUGAUGAGACUAACGGCUCUCAAGUAGAGCAAGUUGAUCUUGAUGAGAUAGGUGAUGAAGAGGCUCCAUGCAUCGCGCUAAGGAACAUGUCCAUUGGGGAUGUGUGUCCUAAGGAAUCCGAAGAGCCUCCAAAUGCACAAGAUCAACCAUCCUCCUCCACGCAAGCAUCUCCACCGACUCAAAAUGAGGAUGAUCUCAAGUUGAUGAAGUAAAAGAUCAAGCAAAUGAGCCACCUCAAGAUGACGGCAAUAAUCAAGGGGGAGAGGCAAAUGAUCAAGACAAGGAGGAUGAAGAACAAAGACCGCCACACCCAAGAGUCCACCAAGCAAUCCAACAAGAUCACCCCGUCGACACCAUCCUCGGCGACAUUCAUAAGGGGGUAACCACUAGAUCUCGUGUUGCACAUUUUUGUGAGCAUUACUCUUUUGUUUCCUCUAUUGAGCCACACAAGGUAGAGGAAGCACUACAAGAUUCGGAUUGGGUGGUGGCGAUGCAAGAGGAGCUCAACAACUUCACUAGGAAUGAGGUAUGGCAUUUGGUUCCACGUCCUAACCAAAAUGUUGUAGGAACCAAAUGGGUGUUCCGCAACAAGCAAGACGAGCAUGGUGUGGUGACAAGGAACAAAGCUCGACUUGUGGCCAAGGGAUACUCCCAAGUUGAAGGUUUGGAUUUCGGUGAAACCUAUGCACCCGUAGCUAGGCUUGAGUCAAUUCGCAUAUUAUUGGCCUAUGCUACUUACCAUGGCUUCAAGCUUUACCAAAUGGACGUGAAGAGUGCCUUCCUCAAUGGACCAAUCAAGGAAGAGGUCUAUGUUGAGCAACCUCCUGGCUUUGAAGAUAGUGAGUACCCUAACCAUGUAUACAAACUCUCUAAGGCGCUUUAUGGGCUCAAGCAAGCCCCAAGAUCAUGGUAUGAAUGCCUUAGAGAUUUCCUUAUCACUAACGGAUUCAAAGUCGGAAAAGCCGAUCCUACACUUUUCACUAAAACUCUUAAAAAUGACUUGUUUGUAUGCCAAAUUUAUGUUGAUGAUAUUAUAUUUGGGUCUACUAACGAGUCUACAUGUGAAGAAUUUAGUAGGAUCAUGACACAGAAAUUCGAGAUGUCAAUGAUGGGGGAGUUGAAGUACUUCUUAGGAUUCCAAGUGAAGCAACUCCAAGAAGGCACCUUCAUAAGCCAAACAAAGUAUACUCAAGAUAUUCUAAGCAAGUUUGGGAUGAAGGAUGCCAAACCCAUCAAGACACCCAUGGGAACCAAUGGGCAUCUCGACCUCGACGAGGGAGGUAAGCCUGUGGAUCAAAAGGUAUACCGGUCGAUGAUAGGUUCUUUACUCUACUUAUGUGCAUCUCGACCGGAUAUUAUGCUUUCCGUACGCAUGUGUGCAAGAUUCCAAGCCGACCCUAAGGAAGCUCACCUCACGGCCGUAAAACGAAUCUUGAGAUAUUUAGUUUAUACUCCUAAGUUUGGGCUUUGGUAUCCUAGGGGAUCCACUUUUGAUUUGAUUGGUUAUUCGGAUGCCGAUUGGGCGAGGUGUAAGAUUAAUAGAAAGAGCACAUCGGGGACUUGCCAGUUCUUGGGAAGAUCCUUGGUGUCUUGGGCUUCAAAGAAGCAAAAUUCCGUAGCUCUUUCUACCGCCGAAGCCGAGUACAUUGCCGCAGGCCAUUGUUGCACGCAACUACUUUGGAUGAGGCAAACCCUUAGGGACUACGGUUACAAAUUAACCAAAGUUCCUCUUCUAUGUGAUAAUGAGAGUGCAAUCCGCAUGGCGGAUAAUCCCGUUGAGCAUAGCCGCACUAAACACAUAGCCAUUCGGUAUCAUUUUCUAAGGGAUCACCAACAAAAGGGAGAUAUCGAGAUUUCAUAUAUUAACACUAAAGAUCAAUUAGCCGAUAUCUUUACCAAGCCAUUAGAUGAACAAACUUUUAACAAACUUAGGCAUGAGCUAAAUAUUCUUGAUUCUAGGAACUUCUUUUGUUAAAUUGCACACAUAGCUCUUUUAUAUACCUCUGAUCAUUUCUCUUUCAUAUGCUAUGACUAAUGUGUUUUCAAGUCUAUUUCAAACCAAGUCAUAGGUGUAUUGAAAAGAAAUUAGAGUCUUCGGCAAAGACAAAGGCUUCCACUCCGUAACUCAUCCUUCGUCGUCGCUCCGCGCAACUCUCCAUCUUUGGGGGAGAGAGCAUCUCUCCUACUUUGGUAUAAUCUUCACUCAUAUUCUAUUUUACCAAAGGGGAGAAAGUUACUUCAAGGGCUCUAAUGACUCCGUUUUUGGCGAUUUAUGCCAAAGGGGGAGAAAGUGUUAGCCCAAAGCAAAAGGACCGCACCACCAAACUCAUUUUAAAAUGAUUGUCAAUUGGAAAUUUCAAAAUUGAUAUCUUAUUGAGUUCAAAAAGGGGGAGAAAGUAGUAUUUCAAAAUUGAUAUAUCAAAACCCUCUUGAACACUAAGAGGAGAAUUUCAUUGAGGAGGAGUUUUGUUUAGUCAAAGAAAAAGCAUUUGAAACAAGGGGAGAAAAGUUCAAAUCUUGAAAAUGCUUCGCAAAAUCCUAUUCAUUUAUCUUUGACUAUUUGCAAAAGGACUUUGAAAAGAAUUUACAAAAGAAUUUGCAAAAACAAAUCAUGUGGUGCAAGAGUGGUCCAAAAUGUUAAAAAUAAAAGAAACAAUCCAUGCAUAUCUUAUAAGUAUUUACAUUGGCUCGAUUCCAAGCAACCUUUGCACUUACAUUAUGCAAGCUAGUUCAAUUAUGCACUUCUAUAUUUGCUUUGGUUUGUGUUGGCAUCAAUCACCAAAAAGGGGGAGAUUGAAAGGGAAUUAGGCUUACACCUAUUUCCUAAAUGAUUUUGGUGGUUGAAUUGCCCAACACAAAUAAUUGGACUAACUAGUUCGCUCUAGUGUAUAAGUUAUACAGGUGUCAAAGGUUCAUACUUAGCAAAUAAAAAGACCAAGAAUCGGGUUCAACAAAGAGAGCAAACGGAUAACCGAAGGCACCCUGGUCUGGCGCACCGGACUGUCCGGUGUGCCACCGGACAGUGUCCGGUGCACCAGGGGACUUCAAGCCAAACUUCGCACCUUCGGGAAUUCUCAGAGGCGCUCCGCUAUAAUUCACCGGACUGUCCAGUGUACACCGAACAGUGUUCGGUGCUCCAGAGGAGAGCGACUCUGAACUCGCCAGCUUCGGGAAUUCGCUCCGCUAUAAUUCACCGGACAUGUUCGGUGUGCACCGGACUGUCCGGUGAGCCAACGGAGCAACGACUACUUCGCGCCAACGGUCACCUGCAGAAGCAUUAAAUGUGCGCCAGAGCGCGAAGAAGUCAGGCACGCGCGAUGUGGCGCACCGGACACUCUACAGUACAUGUCCGGUGUGCCACCGGACAUCCAGGCGGGCCCAGCAGUCAGAGCUCCAACGGUCGGAACCCAACGGCCUGGUGACGUGGCUGGCGCACCGGACACUGUCCGGUGCACCAUGCGACAGACAGCCUCCACCAAACGGCUAGUUUGGUGGUUGGGGUUAUAAAUACCCCCAACCACCCCACAUUCAAGUCAUCCAAGUUUUCCACCUUUCAACCACUUACAAGAGCUAGGCAUUCAAUACAAGACACACCCAAGCGAUCAAAUCCUCUCCUAAUUCCACAAAAGCAUUAGUGACUAGUGAGAGUGAUCUGUUGUGUUCUUUUGAGCUCUUGCGCUUGGAUUGCUUUCUUCUUUCUCAUUCUUUGCUUGUGAUCAAAACUCAAUUGUAACCGAGGCAAGAGACACCAAUUGUGUGGUGGUCCUUGCGGGGAAGUUUUGUUCCCGGUUGAUUUGAGAAGAGAAAGCUCACUCAGUCCGAGGGACCGAGAGGGAAAGGGUUGAAAGAGACCGGCCUUUGUGGCCUCCUCAACGGGGAGUAGGUUUGCGAGAACCGAACCUCGGUAAAACAAAUCCGUGUGUCACACUUCUUAUUCGCUUGCGAUUUGUUUUGCACCCUCUCUCGCGGACUCGAUUAUAUUUCUAACGCUAACACGGCUUGUAGUUGUGAUUAACUUUGUAAAUUUCAGUUUCGCCCUAUUCACCCCCCCUCUAGGCGACUUUCAAUCGCUCAACAAGUUGUGGGGAAUAAUGUGGUAUGAACUCACCAAAGGUGGGAGUUCAUGUGAUGUGUAAAGCUGAUCAACAAUAGGGGUUUAAAGCUGAGCAUUGCUUUUAAAGUUGGUCAAAGUUUUAUUAGCAAUUACUAAAUGUAAGUAAAUACCAAACCAUAAUAAACAUAAUAGAACAAAAUUAAUAACAAAAUCUCAUGCAAUGCAUAUGACAAAUUGAAUUUAAGUUCCAUAAAUUAAUCAUGCGAGAGUCAUGAGCUGCUCAUAACCAUGAGCUCGGCUAGUAUACCAGUUUUACACUCUACAGAGGUUGUACCAUGUACCCACAAGUCGUGUAUCCCAUGUCGCCAGGGUUUGCAAGGCCCUUAGACACUACCGAGGUGAAUGGCUAGGGAUCCACUACGAGGCCUUUACAAAGUUCCACUAGCUUCCGAAAACCCGCUACAGUUUAUGGGAAGAGCACUUGCAAGAAUCCCCCGUCUGACCGCCAUCGCAGCAAAAUCAACUCGAGAACCUCCUUGCAUGCAACUCCCCUACUGCCCUUGCCCCUUUCGGGUAAGAUAGUCUUCCACUAGCUUUCCUAAUUAGUCAGCCAAGGGCGUCCCAUUCCACCCUCGUGGUGGCACAUGUUUCUCAAGUUAAGCUCCAUGUUCCAAUUAACAUUUAAUGAUCUUGACAUGAACAUAAAUAACAUAACAGAAUAAUUGGAACAUGGAUAUAAUGAAAUAUUAAUCCCAAAACCAUAUAAUGCAAUAGCGUAACUACCUAGAAGAAUCAAGGGUAAACAAGGUAAACAGGAUAAACAGACCAGGGUGACCUAUCGGGUCCCAUCAAAAUUAAAUCUAUGCAUUAAAUAAUGAUAAUAAAAAAUAUUAUUGGGUAACAAAAGUGGAUCAAGGGCACAACUUGCCUGGCACUUGAGAUUCCAGGUACCACUUGCUCUUCAAGUGACUCGUAACCUUGCUGCUAGUCGUAGCAAUACAAACAAACAUGGUAUAGACAAAAUUAACAUCACACCAAACAUAAGUACAAACUGAAUAAUAAUAAUCUAUGCAAAGCUACGAAAUCGUGGGAUCAAGAUCUACUAAGAUUGGAGUUACCAUUAAGGAGUUAUGAUUUUAUAAAAGAUCUAUGUGAUUAAAAUAUUAGACUAUAUUAUGAAUUGGUUAGGAUACCCUAUAUGAGAGAAUUAAUUAUCUCAACUUCAAUCUAAGUUAUAAAUUGACCAUAGAUCUUAUUCUAGUAGGUUAUAAUGAUAAGCAAAUUAACAAGUCUAACCGACAUAAAUUAAAUAAUGAUCUAAUUAUAAAAGAAUGAGGCAUGAUAUAAUAAAUGUUGUUAUUGUGUAGUAGAUAUUUAUGCGAAGCUAACGCAACUGGAACGAGUCAAAUCGGAUUUAAAAUUGAGAAAUUAUGAAUUUCUAAAGUUAUUAGGUACUUAGAAUAGAUUAAUUCAAAUGAACAAUUUUAAUUCAAGUUUUAUGGCUAAACAGUAUUACUGGUUGAUAGACAAUAUUAAAGCAAAAUUAAUGUCUCUAGAAUGAAUCAAUUUAGGGCUAAAAUGAAUUUAAUAUGAUUUAUCCAAGUUUAUGGAAUUAUUUUUGUAUUAGAAACCAAUUUCUAUAAUCAUUUCCCUGUUUUCUCUAUUUUCCUAGUUUGCGCGUCAAUUACUAAAAAGAUCAGGGGCUAUCUCAGAAGAUUACCCAGACUCAGUCUACACCCCCUUGGACGGCGGGUUGAUUUCUAUGUUCUACGGGGUCUCUUUAACAAAAUAUCUGGCCGAAGGGGUACGGGCGGAUGAGAGCCGCCCGAUCCGACUUGUGCGGUCAGGAUUAGAUUCCCACAGAGCAACUCCCACGCGUGGGAUGUGUCAUCGACGGUUCAGAUUUUAAAACGCACAAGCACACGAGGUUCGUCCGAUCGCGAUCGGACGCGAGUCGCGUGCACAAACCCAACCGUUAUCGUCGAUUAGAUCUCGGCCAUCCAUCCAAUAUACGAUGGUUGUCGAGCACUCCCUAUCCUGCCCGCCCAUGCACAGAUCUGCGGUCACGAUUAAAUCGAGCUGAACUGGUAUCUCGAACUAAUCAAAACCACCUAUCGGCCAACCAACGGCCCACGCGUUCCUCUCCUCACCCCGGUUGGAGACGGCAGUGCGCCAGCCCGCGCCGACGGCGGCGCCAUUGGCGGCGAACCCUUGAGCACGCCUGGAAGGGCCUAAGUCUAACGCGACCCGAUGCAAAACGAAGAGGGAAAGGUGGCGAGCAUCAUGGUGGGGGCCUUACCGAGGAUUAGGUCACCAGGAGUCACGCCCACGGCGCACGGUGGAAGUCUGUGGGUCCUCAUCGUCGGUGAGCAAUUCCGGCUGCACAGAGACCCACCUCACACCCACACCCCCGCGUGUCGUCACCGGUGGGUUGCGUAAUGCUCCGGUUCCAGCCUCGAGGGCACGAACGGCAACAGACGCGAGGCACAGGUGCGGCGGCUACGCCCUCCUAUGGUGUGCUGGUGGCGGGGUGUUCGUGCGUAGAGAGGACGACCCGAAAAAGCAGCUCGACCUGAAUAUAUAGCUGGCGCAGUGAAGAGGCUAGGCCAGCGUGCGGUCAGUUGGCGGUUGGAUCCAGCGUGGAACGCGGCGUUCGGAGCGGAGGUGAUGAGUGGGCUCGAGUCCGCGGUAUUCACGGGAGGAAGAAGACGAGUUCGCAGCGGAUCUCACCCGAUGACCAGUGGGCCCCACGCGGCAGCCACAGAGCUAGCGCGUGCGAGAUGGAGCUUGGGUCAUGCGGAGGAAAACAGAAGUGGGCCGAACGUGCGUGGUGGCUUGGCUGAGCUGCUGCCGCGUGGGUCUAACCUGUCAGUGACAUGAGGUGGAGAUGGCUGGCGCGGUAAAAUGGCUGACGGUGUGGGCUGAGUGCAGCGAGCGAAGUGGGCCAAGGUGGAGAAUGGGCCGAAAGUGAGGUAGCCGGCCUAGAGAGUUCUGGUUCUUCUUUUUCUUUUCUUGUUUCUAUUUUUAAUUUAAAAAUACCCAAUCAAAUUCAAAUUUUCUAUUUCAAGUAUAAAUGCAUCAAUCAAAAAUCCGAGCAUGAUAUGCAACAAAUUUAUCUAUAUUAAUAUAUAUAUAUAUAUAUAUGUUUAUUAAUUUAUCUAUUUAAGUAAAUGCUUCAAAUGUUUAAUUUAGUAAAGAAUAAAUUCAUAGCAUCAAAUAAUUGAAUAUCUUCUUCAUUAAAUUUCCCUUGUCAUAUAUGUAGGAAAAACCAUUUUUUGUAAACUUUUCUUAGAAAUUAAUAUCAAUCAUUUACUUUAGGAUAAUAUUCCUUUCAUGUUUACCUCUCAUUCCAUGUUUCUCAUUUAUUUAUUUUAGCACCAAGUAAGUAUUUUCAAAUGUGAAAUCUUAAUUAGAAAAUAUAACUUAAAUUUUUAUAGGACUUAUCCUUAUACAAAACUUAUAAACUUAAAAGAUAUUUUAUAUAAGAAUCCUUUUAUUGAAUCUUAAAAAAUAUUUUAGGAGAUGUGACUUCAAAAGUUAUGGGACUUCUAAAAAAAUUCUAACACAAGGUCUUUGAAAAUAUUUUUUUACUAUAGUCUCAAAAUGAGAUUUUGAGGUGUUACAGAAGAGCACUUGCAAGAAUCUCCCGUCUGACCGCCAUCACAGCAAAAUCAACCUGAGAACCUCCUUGCAUGCAACUCCCCUAUUGUCAUUACCCCUUUCGGGUAAGGUAGUCUUCCAUUAGCUUUCCUAAUUAGUUAGCCAAGGGCGUCCCAUUCCACCCUUGUGGCGGCACGUGUUUCUCAAGUUAAGCUCCAUGUUCUAAUUAAAAUAUAAUGAUCUUGACAUGAACAUAAAUAAAAUAAUAGAAUAAUUGGAACAUGGACAUAAUGUAUUAUUAAUCCCAAAACCAUAUAGAGCAAUAGCAAAACUACCCAAAUGAUUUAGGGGCAAACAAGGUAAAAGAUAAUCAUACUAGGGUGACCUAUUGGGUCCCAUAAAAAUUAAACCUAUGCAUAAGUAAGUGAUAUUAAAGAACAUGAUUGGGUAAAUGGAAGUGAUCAAGGGCACAACUUGCCUAGCACUUGAGAUUCCAGUUACCACGGUGAUUCUUCAGAUCCUCGUGACCUCACUACUAGUCGUAGCAAUACAAACAAACAUGGUAUAGAUGAAAUUAACAUCACACCACACAUAAGAACAAACUGAAAUAUAGUAAUCUACGCGUUGCUACGAGAUCGCGGGAUCGAGAACCACUAAAAUCGGAGUUACGAUUAAGGAGUUAUGAUUUUAUAGAAGAUCUGUGUGAUUAAAAUAUUAAAUUAAAUUAUAAAUUGGUUAAUAUAAAUUAUAUGAGAGAUUAUUCUAUAAAUAAUUAUCUCAACUUUAAUCUAAGUUAUGAGUUGACCAUAGAUCAUAUUCUAGUAUAUUAUAAUGAUAAGCAGUUUAACAAGACUAACCCACAUAAGUUAAAUAAAAGUCUAGUUAUGAAAUAAUGAAACAUGGUACAGUAAAUGUUAUUUAUUGCAUAGCAAAUAUUUAUACGGAGACUAACGCAACUGGAACGAGUCAAUUCGGAAUUAAAACGAAGCAGUUAUGAUUUUCUGAAGAUUUUAUGUAUUUGAUAUGAGAUUAAUUGAGAGAUCAAUUUUAUUAUUGUUUUCAUGUCAAAACUGUGGCACUAAUUGAUAAACAAUAAUAUUACAAAAAUAUAGGAACUAAAAUGGAUCAAUUUGGAUAAAAAUGGAUUUUCUAUGAAUUAAAUAAGUUCUAGGAAUUGUUUUUAUAUUAAAAAUCCAUUUCUAAAUUUAUUUAUUUGAUUUUCCUGAGCUCUGGACCGGGCGUCAAAUAAUACAAACCUCGGGGUUCAAUCUGUAACAAUUCCCUAGACUCAGGCUAAACCAGGGAAGGACUGCGGGUUGUUUUGUCACUUUCUCAGGGUGUCAUAUGAAAUUCUGUAACAGCGAGGGGUAUCCGCUGUCCAGGACCAUCAGAACCAAAUUUAAGGGAUCAGAUUAGAUCUGAUCAUCACGCGGAUGGCUACAUCAGCACGGCCACAGGAUUAAGAAUCAACGGCAUGGAUCCUAAGCAGAACGGAUCACCCGGAAACCGAUCGAUCACCGAUCGACGGUCUAGGCGCGCCAGAUCGAAACGGUACGCCCGAUUAAAUCCAGACCGUCCGUUGAUUGAUCCACGAUGGUGAAACGAAAUGGCCGCGAUCUAAUCCGAAGCGUUGCCACAAAAUCCGACGGCACGCGACAUUCCUCCCCACCCCGUACACAGACGCGGCGGCACUAGCCAUCACGCGGCGGAGCUCCCGCCGCCGUGACGACCAAUGCACCAAACGCCGCCCUAUACCCUAAAUUGAUGACACUGCUCAAUCCCCAGGGUUCUAGUGAUCUGCGUGAGGUACUAGCAACAACAUUCGACAGCCGAGAAAAUCGUGCCCUCGGGUUCCCGCGCUCCGCGGCGGCGCCGUGAAGUCCGGCGAGGAAUUCCCACCUCAGUGGAGCAACUACCCUCUAAUCCGCCGUGCUACGUGUUGAGGAUAUAAAGGCGAAGGGUGCAGUGGGGAAAUUACCGGUGAUUAGGCUCCACGGAUUCCUGCCCACGCGCGCAGUCGAGCUCCCGGCAGAACGCUAUCGCGGUGAGUAUCCGCCAGCGCACGAAUGGGGUUGGCUGCGGCAAUUCGGGGCGGUGCUGCCCAAUCCUCUGCCGAGCCCGGCCGCGAAUCACCUUCGACGAAGCAACUAGAUUCCCCACGGUCCGAAGCUCUCCUCUCUCCCCUUUUUCUGCCCAGAUGAGCUUAGCUCCGAUGUGCAGGUGGUAACUUCCUCGCCCCGGCCCUUUCGCGACUCGCAGUGACGAUAGUCCAAUAG
RNAcentral lists this long non-coding RNA (22488 nucleotides) under Zea mays. Its description in RNAcentral is "long non-coding RNA (ZMAY_LNC000472)". The record is from RNAcentral. Lineage: Eukaryota; Viridiplantae; Streptophyta; Magnoliopsida; Poales; Poaceae.